This 443-nucleotide ribosomal RNA is filed under the name uncultured bacterium. RNAcentral's name for it is "partial 16S ribosomal RNA". It matches the Rfam family "Bacterial small subunit ribosomal RNA", at positions 338 to 795 of the family's 1533-position model. The record is from RNAcentral.
CCUACGUGAGGCUGCAGUGGGGAAUAUUGCACAAUGGGGGGAACCCUGAUGCCGCAAUGCCGCGUGAAGGAUGAAGGUUUUCGGAUUGUAAACUUCUUUUGUACGGGACGAAGAAAGUGACGGUACCGUAAGAAUAAGCCCCGGCUAACUACGUGCCCGCAGCUGCGGUAAUACGUAGGUGGCACGCGUUAUCCGUAUUUACUGGGUGUAAAGGGCGAGUAGGCGGGAUUGCAAGUCAGAUGUGAAAACUAUGGGCUCAACCGAUAGAGUGCAUUUGAAACUGCAGUUCUUGAGUGAUGUAGAGGCAGGCGGAAGUCCCUGUGUAGCGGUGGAAUGCGUAGAUAUCGGGAGGAACACCAGAGGCGAAGGCGGCCUGCUGGACAUUAACGGACGCGGAGGCGCGAAAGCGUGGGGAGCAAACAGGAUUAGAUACCCGAGUAGUC